Molecule: unclassified non-coding RNA, 479 nt
Filed under: uncultured Paraglomus
Lineage: Eukaryota; Fungi; Glomeromycota; Glomeromycetes; Paraglomerales; Paraglomeraceae
Description: SSU rRNA
Rfam family: Eukaryotic small subunit ribosomal RNA
Source: RNAcentral
AGCAGCCGCGGUAAUUCCAGCUCCAAUAGCGUAUAUUAAAGUUGUUGCAGUUAAAAAGCUCGUAGUUGAAUUUCGGGGUCAGCAGGUUGGUCGUGCCAAUGGUAUGCACUGGCCUUGCUGAUUCCUCCCUCUUGAUGAGCCGUAAUGCCAUUAAUUUGGUGUUGCGGGGAAUCAGGACUGUUACUUUGAAAAAUUAGGGUGUUUAAAGCAGGCAAGCGCUUGAAUACAUUAGCAUGGAAUAAUGAAAUAGGACGUUCGAUCCUAUUUUGUUGGUUUCUAGGAUUGACGUAAUGAUUAAUAGGGAUAGUUGGGGGCAUUAGUAUUCAAUUGUCAGAGGUGAAAUUCUUGGAUUUAUUGAAGACUAACUACUGCGAAAGCAUUUGCCAAGGAUGUUUCAUUAAUCAAGAACGAAAGUUAGGGGAUCGAAGACGAUCAGAUACCGUCGUAGUCUUAACCAUAAACUAUGCCGACUAGGGAUC